UACGUAGGGGGCAAGCGUUAUCCGGAUUUACUGGGUGUAAAGGGAGCGUAGACGGCAGCGCAAGUCUGGAGUGAAAUCCCAUGGCUUAACCAUGGAACUGCUUUGGAAACUGUGCAGCUGGAGUGCAGGAGAGGUAAGCGGAAUUCCUAGUGUAGCGGUGAAAUGCGUAGAUAUUAGGAGGAACACCAGUGGCGAAGGCGGCUUACUGGACUGUAACUGACGUUGAGGCUCGAAAGUGUGGGGAGCAAACAGG
RNAcentral lists this ribosomal RNA (253 nucleotides) under uncultured bacterium. RNAcentral's name for it is "partial 16S ribosomal RNA". It matches the Rfam family "Bacterial small subunit ribosomal RNA", at positions 524 to 776 of the family's 1533-position model. The record is from RNAcentral.